RNAcentral lists this ribosomal RNA (406 nucleotides) under uncultured bacterium. RNAcentral describes it as "partial 16S ribosomal RNA". It matches the Rfam family "Bacterial small subunit ribosomal RNA", at positions 30 to 526 of the family's 1533-position model. The record is from RNAcentral.
AUUGAACGCUGGCGGCAGGCCUAACACAUGCAAGUCGAGCGAGCGGCGGACGGGUGGGUAAUGUAUGGGAAUCUGCCCGAUAUAGUGGGAUAACUACUGGAACCGGUGGCUAAUACCGCAUACUAUAGGAUAAGCCCAUAUGGGAUUAGCUAGUAGGUGGGGUAAAGGCUCACCUAGGCGCCGCUCUCUAGCUGGUCUGAGAGGAUGAGCAGCCACACUGGUACUGAGACACGGCCCAGACUCCUACGGGAGGCAGCAGUGGGGAAGAUUGCACAAUGGGCGCAAGCCGGAUGCAGCCAUGCCGCGUGUAUGAAGAAGGCCUUAGGGUGGUAAAGUACUUUCAGCGGGGAGGCGUUACCCGCAGAAGAAGCACCGGCUAACUCCGUGCCAGCAGCCGCGGUAAUAC